Molecule: ribosomal RNA, 253 nt
Filed under: uncultured bacterium
Lineage: Bacteria
Description: partial 16S ribosomal RNA
Rfam family: Bacterial small subunit ribosomal RNA
Source: RNAcentral
CACGUAGGGCGCGAGCGUUGUCCGGAAUUAUUGGGCGUAAAGAGCUCGUAGGCGGCCUGUUGCGUCCGCUGUGAAAGCCCGGGGCUUAACCCCGGGUCGGCAGUGGAUACGGGCAGGCUAGAGGUAGGUAGGGGAGAAUGGAAUUCCCGGUGUAGCGGUGAAAUGCGCAGAUAUCGGGAGGAACACCGGUGGCGAAAGCGGCUUCCUGGUCCAGCACCGACGUUCAGGCACGAAAGCGUGGGGAGCAAACAGG